Molecule: long non-coding RNA, 1551 nt
Organism: Oncorhynchus tshawytscha (Chinook salmon)
Lineage: Eukaryota; Metazoa; Chordata; Actinopteri; Salmoniformes; Salmonidae
Source: Ensembl
UUUUAAUAUUAACCAAAUCACAUUUUUAUCUAUUACAGAAAAUCGAACAAAAACACUGGGAUAGCACAACAUAGCACAAUAAAUAAACCAAGAUAAACACGACCCAGAAACGUUUCUGUGUUUUAACAAAGAGUUAUUGCUAGAACAACAGAGAGGGAGUGUUACUCUGGUGUAUAGAAUGCAUAUGAACAAACAACUGAAAUGACACCCCUGCGUCACUACUGGCCAGAGACACAUACUAUGUAGUGUUUGUCCCCAUCUGUCCUUUGUAGUGCACUAUGUAGGGUAGGGUGUCAUUAGAGAUGCAGAGGUCUAGACGUGAAAAAGGGAGGGACCAUGUUGCCAGAGAUAUGAAACCUGGAGACAUAGAAACAGUACACAUCCUCUGCUACAGAUGUGGAUCAAACAGGAAAUGAAUCACGUUAUCUUAAUCUUAAUCUCUUCAUCUUCAUUUUAAUUGUCUUUGUCAAAACACAAUUUAUUCAUUACUGCCACUCAAGCCCUCUAGGGGCUCGAUUCAAUCCGUAGUGCUAAAGAUCUACGCUAUAGCGCGUUAGCAAUUUCAAGGCAAUGCUCGCGCGUUAGCGGAGACUGCAUUCACAGUCCACACUGCAUACAGUAUAAAUGGGUUAGCUGACAACGUCACAAAAAAACGAUGUGCGCGCUUCCAUGGGGCAGAAGUCAGUGUGUUGUUAUGAUUCUGGAUGGACAAAUUGCUAGCAAGAAUGACAAGAAACUGCCAUGUAAGAAAUUGUAAGUAGCUCGUUUCAUCUUGUUCUUGAUACCAUGUCUUGUUUUGAGGUGUUUUGGCUGUCACAUCUAUGCUAAGAUGGCUAAGAUUCGCUAACUAGCUAACCAACAACUGUAGCGAUGUAUUUGUGAGACAAGAAGUGCUGAUUGUGUACAUGUAUAAUCAACAAUAAGAAACAUUCAAGACAUGGUAUUUAUCAAAAAACUAAAAAUCAUGACAGUCUUUAUUAAAAAAGGUACGCUUAUUUUCUAUAAAAUGCACUGAUAGGUGUACAGUACUUUCCAUCCACAGUUGUCCUUCAUUGUAAAAUAAAGAACCCUAAUCCUAACCCUAGCCUUCAUUGUAGAACAAAGAACUCUAACCUUAACCCUAGCCUUCAUUGUAGAACAAAGAACUCUAACCUUAACCCUAGCCUUCAUUGUAGAACAAAGAACCCUAACCCUAACCCUAGCCUUCAUUGUAGAACAAAGAACCCUAACCCUAACCCUAGCCUUCAUUGUAGAACAAAGAACCCUAACCCUAACCCUAGCCUUCAUUGUAGAACAAAGAACCCUAACCCUAACCCUAGCCUUCAUUGUAGAACAAAGAACCCUAACCCUAACCCUAGCCUUCAUUGUAGAACAAAGAACUCUAACCUUAACCCUAGCCUUCAUUGUAGAACAAAGAACUCUAACCUUAACCCUAGCCUUCAUUGUAGAACAAAGAACCCUAACCCUAGCCUUCAUUGUAGAACAAAGAACCCUAACCCUAACCCUAGCCUUCAUUGUAGAACAAAGAACCCUAACCCUAACCCUAGCCUU